AGUGAACGCUGGCGGUAGGCCUAACACAUGCCAGUCGAACGGCAGCACAGUAAGAGCUUGCUCUUACGGGUGGCGAGUGGCGGACAGGUGAGGAAUACAUCGGAAUCUACUUUUUCGUGGGGGAUAACGUAGGGAAACUUACGCUAAUACCGCAUACGACCUACGGGUGAAAGCAGGGGAUCUUCGGACCUUGCGCGAUUGAAUGAGCCGAUGUCGGAUUAGCUAGUUGGCGGGGUAAAGGCCCACCAAGGCGACGAUCCGUAGCUGGUCUGAGAGGAUGAUCAGUCACACUGGAACUGAGACACGGUCCAGACUCCUACGGGAGGCAGCAGUGGGGAAUAUUGGACAAUGGGCGCAAGCCUGAUCCAGCCAUACCGCGUGGGUGAAGAAGGCCUUCGGGUUGUAAAGCCCUUUUGUUGGGAAAGAAAAGCAGCAGGUUAAUACCCCGCUGUUCUGACGGUACCCAAAGAAUAAGCACCGGCUAACUUCGUG
RNAcentral lists this ribosomal RNA (492 nucleotides) under uncultured bacterium. Its description in RNAcentral is "partial 16S ribosomal RNA". It matches the Rfam family "Bacterial small subunit ribosomal RNA", at positions 29 to 507 of the family's 1533-position model. The record is from RNAcentral.